RNAcentral lists this ribosomal RNA (253 nucleotides) under uncultured bacterium. RNAcentral's name for it is "partial 16S ribosomal RNA". It matches the Rfam family "Bacterial small subunit ribosomal RNA", at positions 524 to 776 of the family's 1533-position model. The record is from RNAcentral.
UACGUAGGGGGCACGCGUUGUCCGGAUUCAUUGGGCGUAAAGAGCGUGUAGGCGGCCAGGUAGGUCGGUUGUGAAAACUGGAGGCUCAACCUUCAGAGGUCGACCGAAACCAUCUGGCUAGAGUCCGGGAGAGGAGAGUGGAAUUCCUGGUGUAGCGGUGAAAUGCGUAGAUAUCUGGAGGAACAUCGGUGGCGAAGGCGACAUCCUGGACCGGUAUUGACGCUGAGGCGCGAAAGCCAGGGGAGCGAACGGG